Molecule: unclassified non-coding RNA, 520 nt
Filed under: uncultured Glomus
Lineage: Eukaryota; Fungi; Glomeromycota; Glomeromycetes; Glomerales; Glomeraceae
Description: SSU rRNA
Rfam family: Eukaryotic small subunit ribosomal RNA
Source: RNAcentral
AGCAGCCGCGGUAAUUCCAGCUCCAAUAGCGUAUAUUAAAGUUGUUGCAGUUAAAAAGCUCGUAGUUGAAUUUCGAGACCGGUUUACUGGUCGUGCUUUUGUACGUACUGGUAUUAUUGGUUUCUCCUUUCUGACGAACUAUAAUGCCAUUAAUUUGGUGUUUUAGGGAAUCAGGACUGUUACUUUGAAAAAAUUAGAGUGUUUAAAGCAGGCUCACGCUUGAAUACAUUAGCAUGGAAUAACGGAAUAGGACGUUUGAUUCUAUUUUGUUGGUUUCUAGGAUCGACGUAAUGAUUAAUAGGGAUAGUUGGGGGCAUUAGUAUUCAAUUGUCAGAGGUGAAAUUCUUGGAUUUAUUGAAGACUAACUACUGCGAAAGCAUUUGCCAAGGAUGUUUUCAUUAAUCAAGAACGAAAGUUAGGGGAUCGAAGACGAUCAGAUACCGUCGUAGUCUUAACCAUAAACCUAUGCCGACUAGGGAUCGGAUGAUGUUAAUUAUUUAAUGACUCAUUCGGCCGUCCG